This 1311-nucleotide long non-coding RNA is filed under the name Oncorhynchus mykiss (rainbow trout). RNAcentral's name for it is "lncRNA (ENSOMYG00000075257.1)". Lineage: Eukaryota; Metazoa; Chordata; Actinopteri; Salmoniformes; Salmonidae. The record is from RNAcentral.
AUGUCUGGAGUGCAUCUCUCUGGUCAUCCCUCAGGCAGUACAUUGUGUCAGGCAAUGCGGUGUACCGAGGGCACGUGCAGAGCUUCCUCAAAAGGAAGAGGCUGGUCCAUCACUGGAUUUUCCUGGAGCAGAACUCCUAGGUUCACACGGGUGCUGCCUGACAACCUCUACCCUCUGCUGGAGUUUGACACCAAGAUCUCCCAAGGUAAAGUAGAGCCUCGGUUCUCCAGAAUGUACCCAGAAACCUCUGUUAUCAUUAUAUAUCCACCCUAUCAGCUACAGAAACGUCUGUUCUCCAGUAUGUACCCACCCUAUCAGCUACAGAAACCUCUGUUCUCCAGUAUGUACCCACCCUAUCAGCUACAGAAACCUCUAUUAUCCAGGAUGUACCCACCCUAUCAGCUACAGAAACCUCUGUUCUCCAGUAUAUACCCACCCUAUCAGCUACAGAAACCUCUGUUCUCCAGUAUAUACCCACCCUAUCAGCUACAAAAACCUCUGUUCUCCAGUAUAUACCCACCCUAUCAGCUACAGAAACCUCUGUUCUCCAGUAUAUACCCACCCUAUCAGCUACAGAAACCUCUGUUCUCCAGUAUAUACCCACCCUAUCAGCUACAGAAACCUCUGUUCUCCAGUAUAUACCCACCCUAUCAGCUACAGAAACCUCUGUUCUCCAGUAUGUACCCACCCUAUCAGCUACAGAAACCUCUAUUCUCCAGGAUUUACCCACCCUAUCAGCUACAGAAACCUCUGUUCUUCAGUAUGUACCCACCCUAUCAGCUACAGAAACCUCUGUUCUCCAGUAUAUACCCACCCUAUCAGCUACAGAAACCUCUGUUCUCCAGUAUGUACCCACCCUAUCAGCUACAGAAACCUCUGUUCUCCAGUAUAUACCCACCCUAUCAGCUACAGAAACCUCUGUUCUCCAGUAUAUACCCACCCUAUCAGCUACAGAAACCUCUGUUCUCCAGUAUAUACCCACCCUAUCAGCUACAGAAACCUAUGUUCUCCAGUAUAUACCCACCCUAUCAGCUACAGAAACCUCUGUUCUCCAGUAUAUACCCACCCUAUCAGCUACAGAAACCUCCGUUCUCCAGUAUAUACCCACCCUAUCAGCUACAGAAACCUCUGUUCUCCAGUAUGUACCCACCCUAUCAGCUACAGAAACCUCUGUUCUCCAGUAUGUACCCACCCUAUCAGCUACAGAAACCUCUGUUCUCCAGUAUGUACCCACCCUAUCAGCUACAGGUUGUCUUAAGAUUUCCUUCUAUUGAUUUCUUUCAUGUUGUCCUUUCUCAUUUAGGUUCUUAA